RNAcentral lists this ribosomal RNA (418 nucleotides) under Bacillus sp. DJ-E9. RNAcentral describes it as "bacterial SSU rRNA". It matches the Rfam family "Bacterial small subunit ribosomal RNA", at positions 17 to 423 of the family's 1533-position model. Lineage: Bacteria; Bacillati; Bacillota; Bacilli; Caryophanales; Bacillaceae. The record is from RNAcentral.
UCAUGGCUCAGGAUGAACGCUGGCGGCGUGCCUAAUACAUGCAAGUCGAGCGAAUGGAUUAAGAGCUUGCUCUUAUGAAGUUAGCGGCGGACGGGUGAGUAACACGUGGGUAACCUGCCCAUAAGACUGGGAUAACUCCGGGAAACCGGGGCUAAUACCGGAUAACAUUUUGAACCGCAUGGUUCGAAAUUGAAAGGCGGCUUCGGCUGUCACUUAUGGAUGGACCCGCGUCGCAUUAGCUAGUUGGUGAGGUAACGGCUCACCAAGGCAACGAUGCGUAGCCGACCUGAGAGGGUGAUCGGCCACACUGGGACUGAGACACGGCCCAGACUCCUACGGGAGGCAGCAGUAGGGAAUCUUCCGCAAUGGACGAAAGUCUGACGGAGCAACGCCGCGUGAGUGAUGAAGGCUUUCGGGU